This is a transfer RNA of Cavia porcellus (domestic guinea pig), 64 nucleotides long. It matches the Rfam family "tRNA". Rfam says of the family: Transfer RNA (tRNA) molecules are approximately 80 nucleotides in length. NCBI's taxonomy places the organism in Eukaryota, Metazoa, Chordata, Mammalia, Rodentia, Caviidae. The record is from Rfam.
GGGGAUUUAGCUCAGCGGCAUAAGCGCCUGCCUUGCAAGCAGGAAGUCGUGAGUUCAAUCCCUG